This is a small nucleolar RNA of Danio aesculapii, 112 nucleotides long. RefSeq annotates it as U8 small nucleolar RNA. The record is from RefSeq and is a predicted model, not a curated record. The transcript has a single exon. Lineage: Eukaryota; Metazoa; Chordata; Actinopteri; Cypriniformes; Danionidae.
CCAUCAGUAAGGUUUAUCCUUACCUGUUGUUUUAAAAAUAAGAUUACAGUACAUGAUGAUUGGAUUCUGUGUUCAUAUAGGGUCAGUCACCUGUUUAUGAAUUCUAUCUGAU